This is a long non-coding RNA of Eucalyptus grandis, 801 nucleotides long. RefSeq lists it as uncharacterized. The record is from RefSeq and is a predicted model, not a curated record. The transcript has 2 exons. NCBI's taxonomy places the organism in Eukaryota, Viridiplantae, Streptophyta, Magnoliopsida, Myrtales, Myrtaceae.
GAAGGGGCGCCCAGCAAGCUCCACUGCUAUAUACUAGUCUUUACGUAUAUUCUCAUGAGCUACGUCCGCCUUUUCUUCUUUUGCUAGUGUUCUCCGCACACAUCUACAUCUUUUGGAUUCAUAGAGCAGUUACAUGAACGUGAAACUCCAUUCAGAGAUGUCACAGGAGCUGUGCGGAUGAUGACCCGGACUUUAACUCUCAGCAAGCGAACCUCCUCUUCAAUACCGGCAAAACCCCUGUUGAAACCGUGGUGCUGAGUCUUCCUGGUCCUGAAGACAAAUUUGAUUCUCAUUUCCACAACAAAUAAGACUGUGAGUAAGAAAUGUGGUGUUGAUGAUCAAGAUGUUGAUUUGCAGCAACCGACUAUCCUCAAUACUGGUAAAACCUUGAGGAGACAGUGGCGUUUGGUCUAUUUGGUCCGAAAGGCUCUUGAUGCUCAUUCCGACCAAAAGCGACUCUGUGAUGGAGACACAACUUGAAGUGAGUAGUCUCAAAUCAUCGCUCUCCCAUCACAAGACCACAACCCUUUCGCGAGAACUCACCAGCAAAAAACUACGUGAUACAAUCCUACAGUCAUGAUUUUUCACUUACCAAGAACCGUGAUUAAUAUUCUUUUGAUAGUUGAUCAACGGGAAACUCCAUUCCCAGAUGUCACAGAAGAGCUUCGUGGGUGACUUGGACAUCGAGUCUCAGCAAGCGAUCGUCCUCGUCAAUACAGGCGAAGCUCUGAGGAGACGGUGGCGUGUGGUCUACUUGGUCCUGAAGGCUGUCCAAACGCUUGCUCCGACAGCAAAUGACAC